CUGGCUCAGGAUGAACGCUAGCGAUAGGCCUAACACAUGCAAGUCGAGGGGCAGCACAUGAGUAGCAAUACGAUGGUGGCGACCGGCGCACGGGUGAGUAACACGUAUGCAACCUACCUUUAACAGGGGGAUAACCCGUUGAAAAACGGACUAAUACUCCAUAACACAGGGGUCCCGCAUGGGAAUAUUUGUUAAAGAUUAAUCGGUUGAAGAUGGGCAUGCGUUCCAUUAGCUUGUUGGUGAGGUAACGGCUCACCAAGGCCACGAUGGAUAGGGGAACUGAGAGGUUUAUCCCCCACACUGGAACUGAGACACGGUCCAGACUCCUACGGGAGGCAGCAGUGAGGAAUAUUGGUCAAUGGAGGCAACUCUGAACCAGCCAAGUCGCGUGAAGGAUGAAGGUCUUAUGGAUUGUAAACUUCUUUUGCAAGGGAAUAAAGUGGGGGACGUGUCCUCCUUUGCAUGUACCUUGCGAAUAAGGAUCGGCUAACUCCGUGCCAGCCGCCGC
RNAcentral lists this ribosomal RNA (508 nucleotides) under uncultured bacterium. RNAcentral's name for it is "bacterial SSU rRNA". It matches the Rfam family "Bacterial small subunit ribosomal RNA", at positions 19 to 518 of the family's 1533-position model. The record is from RNAcentral.